UUUAGAUGGCGACCGGCGCACGGGUGAGUAACACGUAUCCAACCUGCCGAUGACUCGGGGAUAGCCUUUCGAAAGAAAGAUUAAUACCCGAUGGCAUAGUUCUUCCGCAUGGUGGAACUAUUAAAGAAUUUCGGUCAUCGAUGGGGAUGCGUUCCAUUAGGUUGUUGGCGGGUAACGGCCCACCAAGCCUUCGAUGGAUAGGGGUUCUGAGAGGAAGGUCCCCCACAUUGGAACUGAGACACGGUCCAAACUCCUACGGGAGGCAGCAUG
RNAcentral lists this ribosomal RNA (270 nucleotides) under uncultured bacterium. Its description in RNAcentral is "partial 16S ribosomal RNA". It matches the Rfam family "Bacterial small subunit ribosomal RNA", at positions 83 to 353 of the family's 1533-position model. The record is from RNAcentral.